GGCCUACACAUGCAAGUCGAGCGGUAGAGAGAAGCUUGCUUCUCUUGAGAGCGGCGGACGGGUGAGUAAUGCCUAGGAAUCUGCCUGGUAGUGGGGGAUAACGUUCGGAAACGGACGCUAAUACCGCAUACGUCCUACGGGAGAAAGCAGGGGACCUUCGGGCCUUGCGCUAUCAGAUGAGCCUAGGUCGGAUUAGCUAGUUGGUGAGGUAAUGGCUCACCAAGGCGACGAUCCGUAACUGGUCUGAGAGGAUGAUCAGUCACACUGGAACUGAGACACGGUCCAGACUCCUACGGGAGGCAGCAGUGGGGAAUAUUGGACAAUGGGCGAAAGCCUGAUCCAGCCAUGCCGCGUGUGUGAAGAAGGUCUUCGGAUUGUAAAGCACUUUAAGUUGGGAGGAAGGGUUGUAGAUUAAUACUCUGCAAUUUUGACGUUACCGACAGAAUAAGCACCGGCUAACUCUGUGCCAGCAGCCGCGGUAAUACAGAGGGUGCAAGCGUUAAUCGGAAUUACUGGGCGUAAAGCGCGCGUAGGUGGUUUGUUAAGUUGGAUGUGAAAUCCCCGGGCUCAACCUGGGAACUGCAUUCAAAACUGACUGACUAGAGUAUGGUAGAGGGUGGUGGAAUUUCCUGUGUAGCGGUGAAAUGCGUAGAUAUAGGAAGGAACACCAGUGGCGAAGGCGACCACCUGGACUAAUACUGACACUGAGGUGCGAAAGCGUGGGGAGCAAACAGGAUUAGAUACCCUGGUAGUCCACGCCGUAAACGAUGUCAACUAGCCGUUGGAAGCCUUGAGCUUUUAGUGGCGCAGCUACGCAUUAAGUUGACCGCCUGGGGAGUACGGCCGCAAGGUUAAAACUCAAUGAAUUGACGGGGCCCGCACAAGCGGUGGAGCAUGUGG
This 900-nucleotide ribosomal RNA is filed under the name Pseudomonadaceae bacterium L-2-1. Its description in RNAcentral is "bacterial SSU rRNA". It matches the Rfam family "Bacterial small subunit ribosomal RNA", at positions 45 to 944 of the family's 1533-position model. Lineage: Bacteria; Pseudomonadati; Pseudomonadota; Gammaproteobacteria; Pseudomonadales; Pseudomonadaceae. The record is from RNAcentral.